UUAAAGACAGUGAUUAGGAGAGUAGUCAUAGGUCAAUGUUUUAGCGAGCUGGUGGUGGUGUAAGACUGGUAAUAUACUUAUGAUGAAGAACACCUAGGAGUUUCUGACCGAAUAAAGUAGGCUCAGACGGUUGGAUACCGUUAUAAAUCUUCUAAGAGAUCGGCCUUGGCCGGUAAUUAGGGUGGUACCGCGAUUAUAACACGUCGUCCCUUUU
RNAcentral lists this non-coding RNA (214 nucleotides) under Peptostreptococcus stomatis. Its description in RNAcentral is "T-box sequence". It matches the Rfam family "T-box leader". Rfam says of the family: Uncharged tRNA acts as the effector for transcription antitermination of genes in the T-box leader family. The record is from RNAcentral. Lineage: Bacteria; Bacillati; Bacillota; Clostridia; Peptostreptococcales; Peptostreptococcaceae.